AUAUCCAGGAUGUAAUUCCCUAAGCAGGGACCUUGCCUAAUGUGUUCACUGCUAUAUAUUUAGCACCCAGAGCACUGCCAUGCCCAUAAGUGGAACGAACCAAUAAAUAAAUAAGUGAAAUAUUCAAUAAACAUGGAAACUAGCAAGGCCCGCAGCCACUCUGCAGAUCUGGGACUCUGCCAGGAGAAGACCAGGAAAAAUACAUCAGGAAAAAUAGAUAAAAUUACUCCCUGUGAGCUUCAGCACCCUUGCCUCAGUCAGGCAGCAACUUCAUAAGUCAACUUGCAUCUUGCUGCCAUGCUAACAUUGGUGACACCAGAACUUUACCGGUAGCGAAAGGAGAUCUGUUUCUAACCAGAACAAGGGGAUUCUUUUUUUUUUUUUUUUCUCCGCUUUCCAACAGAGACUAAAUUAUGAGGUCUAAAUCUGCAUAAAGCUUUCAAAUAGAGCCUUGACCAGUGCUGAAUCGACUUGAAGAAUGAUGAAGGGUUGGCUUCUCUCUCUCGGCAGCUGCGACUUUGGUCAGCCCUUUGCAGAGUAAGAGGAAAUUUAAUGAACCCAAAUAAGACAUGAUCCUUUGUGGCUAUAAAAGUUACACUUUGAAAAAGCUCAGCUGGUCAAGAGCCACUUGAAAAUGAUGUUACUGCUGGGGAACUCUGUCAAAAGUCCACUCCUCUGGAUUUCGUGCAUGAUAUUCUACCACCAAAGUCAUCAACUGGAGGAUUUCCGAAAGGAUCCAGAGAAACAACCGCCUAAUUCAUAUUCUAUGGCUUCUAAUUGUACAAGCAGCACAUUUUAGAAAUCUUUUGUGCUGAGGAACCUUCAUUUGUAGAACACUUCGUUUGCUUAUACAGGAGGCAACGGUGCUUAACUGGCGUAAUUAUUAUGUGUUUCUAGUUUGCCUCAAAUUCUGAUUCAAUCAGAAUCCCUAAAUCUGACAGCCUGUAAUCAAACAAAGAGAGUGCUCUGGAAGCAAGGGAUUAACAGAGGGGAAUUAAAUUGUCGUUUUCAAACAGCUUAGACCAAUAUGAAAGCCCAUUUAGGAGUCUCUCCAUAAAUAUCCCUUUUGUUUUGUCUAAUUGCCGGUUUGAAUGUAUCAGACUCAUC
This 1107-nucleotide long non-coding RNA is filed under the name Felis catus (domestic cat). RNAcentral's name for it is "lncRNA (ENSFCAG00000048246.1)". The record is from RNAcentral. Lineage: Eukaryota; Metazoa; Chordata; Mammalia; Carnivora; Felidae.